RNAcentral lists this ribosomal RNA (439 nucleotides) under Acanthamoeba genotype T4. RNAcentral's name for it is "SSU rRNA". It matches the Rfam family "Eukaryotic small subunit ribosomal RNA", at positions 755 to 1087 of the family's 1831-position model. The record is from RNAcentral. Lineage: Eukaryota; Discosea; Longamoebia; Acanthamoebidae.
CCGUGAAAAAAUUAGAGUGUUCAAAGCAGGCAGAUCCAAUUUUCUGCCACCGAAUACAUUAGCAUGGGAUAAUGGAAUAGGACCCUGUCCUCCUAUUUUCAGUUGGUUUUGGCAGCGCGAGGACUAGGGUAAUGAUUAAUAGGGAUAGUUGGGGGCAUUAAUAUUUAAUUGUCAGAGGUGAAAUUCUUGGAUUUAUGAAAGAUUAACUUCUGCGAAAGCAUCUGCCAAGGAUGUUUUCAUUAAUCAAGAACGAAAGUUAGGGGAUCGAAGACGAUCAGAUACCGUCGUAGUCUUAACCAUAAACGAUGCCGACCAGCGAUUAGGAGACGUUGAAUACAAAACACCACCAUCGGUGCGGUCGUCCUUGGCGGUUGGUCUUCAAAAGCCAGCGGCGGGGGCGGCUUAGCCCGGUGGCACCGGUGAAUGACUCCCUAGCAGC